GCGCCCGUAACUCGGCUGGAUAGAGCGUUGCCCUCCGAAGGCAAAGGUCACACGUUCGAAUCGUGUCGGGUGCGCCA
RNAcentral lists this transfer RNA (77 nucleotides) under Alphaproteobacteria bacterium. Its description in RNAcentral is "tRNA-Arg". It matches the Rfam family "tRNA". From Rfam's summary of the family: Transfer RNA (tRNA) molecules are approximately 80 nucleotides in length. Their secondary structure includes four short double-helical elements and three loops (D, anti-codon, and T loops). Lineage: Bacteria; Pseudomonadati; Pseudomonadota; Alphaproteobacteria. The record is from RNAcentral. RNAcentral also lists the same sequence under 1 other name.